CAGUCGCCACGGGAAUACGUAGGGUGCAAGCGUUAAUCGGAGUUACUGGGCGUAAAGCGUGCGCAGGCGGUUUGUUAAGUCAGAUGUGAAAUCCCCGAGCUUAACUUGGGAACUGCAUUUGAAACUGGCAAGCUAGAGUCUUGUAGAGGGGGGUAGAAUUCCAGGUGUAGCGGUGAAAUGCGUAGAGACCUGGAGGAAUACCGGUGGCGAAGGCGGCCCCCUGGGCAAAGACUGACGCUCAGGUGCGAAAGCGUGGGGAGCAAACAGGAUUAGAUACCCGCGUAGUCCCUGUCUCUUAUAC
RNAcentral lists this ribosomal RNA (301 nucleotides) under uncultured bacterium. RNAcentral's name for it is "partial 16S ribosomal RNA". It matches the Rfam family "Bacterial small subunit ribosomal RNA", at positions 509 to 807 of the family's 1533-position model. The record is from RNAcentral.